Molecule: ribosomal RNA, 532 nt
Filed under: Staphylococcus aureus
Lineage: Bacteria; Bacillati; Bacillota; Bacilli; Caryophanales; Staphylococcaceae
Description: partial 23S ribosomal RNA
Rfam family: Bacterial large subunit ribosomal RNA
Source: RNAcentral
AGACCCGAAACCAGGUGAUCUACCCUUGGUCAGGUUGAAGUUCAGGUAACACUGAAUGGAGGACCGAACCGACUUACGUUGAAAAGUGAGCGGAUGAACUGAGGGUAGCGGAGAAAUUCCAAUCGAACCUGGAGAUAGCUGGUUCUCUCCGAAAUAGCUUUAGGGCUAGCCUCAAGUGAUGAUUAUUGGAGGUAGAGCACUGUUUGGACGAGGGGCCCCUCUCGGGUUACCGAAUUCAGACAAACUCCGAAUGCCAAUUAAUUUAACUUGGGAGUCAGAACAUGGGUGAUAAGGUCCGUGUUCGAAAGGGAAACAGCCCAGACCACCAGCUAAGGUCCCAAAAUAUAUGUUAAGUGGAAAAGGAUGUGGCGUUGCCCAGACAACUAGGAUGUUGGCUUAGAAGCAGCCAUCAUUUAAAGAGUGCGUAAUAGCUCACUAGUCGAGUGACACUGCGCCGAAAAUGUACCGGGGCUAAACAUAUUACCGAAGCUGUGGAUUGUCCUUUGGACAAUGGUAGGAGAGCGUUCUAAGG